This 466-nucleotide ribosomal RNA is filed under the name uncultured bacterium. RNAcentral describes it as "partial 16S ribosomal RNA". It matches the Rfam family "Bacterial small subunit ribosomal RNA", at positions 28 to 507 of the family's 1533-position model. The record is from RNAcentral.
GAUGAACGCUGGCGGCGUGCUUAACACAUGCAAGUCGAACGAUGAAGCCCAGCUUGCUGGGUGGAUUGGUGGCGAACGGGUGAGUAACACGUGAGUAACCUGCCCUUAACUCUGGGAUAAGCCUGGGAAACUGGGUCUAAUACCGGAUAGGAGCGUCCACCGCAUGGUGGGUGUUGGAAAGAUUUAUCGGUUUUGGAUGGACUCGCGGCCUAUCAGCUUGUUGGUGAGGUAAUGGCUCACCAAGGCGACGACGGGUAGCCGGCCUGAGAGGGUGACCGGCCACACUGGGACUGAGACACGGCCCAGACUCCUACGGGGGGCAGCAGUGGGGAAUAUUGCACAAUGGGCGCAAGCCUGAUGCAGCGACGCCGCGUGAGGGAUGACGGCCUUCGGGUUGUAAACCUCUUUCAGUAGGGAAGAAGCGAAAGUGACGGUACCUGCAGAAGAAGCACCGGCUAACUACGUG